CUCCUGGUGCAGCAAAACAUUCUGCUAACAAAUGCGAAAAAUCGACGUACCUUGGAUUUUUUGGCUGCCUGGUCUAUGAAAAUUUUAACAAUUUCGUUGAGGCCUGGAUCAAAUCUCCUAUUUUCCAGAAUAUAUUUUGCAGGCCACCUUUUUUCACAGGGCCUUGAAAAUCACCUUGUUGAAGUUUUUGAAUUUUGCUAGGGGUAUUUUAUAAAAGUCGUCCAUUAUUGCAUCCCAGAUUUUCACAGUAAGCCGGUUGGAGAUAGCUAAAAGUAAUUCCUCACCGAUGACGUGCCCUGAUUUUUUUUUUACAACCUGCAAAACAAGUUCAUACACACAGAUUUUCACCAAAAAUUGGAAUUUUUCUUUCUGUUGAAACAAUUCUAACGGAUGGAUAUAAUUUGCUGCCAAAACAAUUUUUUUGAAUACUAAUGCAACUGUUUUGUCAGGUUUUUGUGAAUUAAUUAAAUUGAGUAAAUCAACUCCCGGUUUGCGUUCGCUAAGACUAGUGCAAAUUGCCUCAGCAAUGCUGGCAAAAUGUUCCUGUCCUUCUAGGCCUGAAGGUAAAUCAUUUCCCUCGAGUUGAGGCCCAACUAAAUCUAAAAGAUGUUUUUGGAGAGAACAGGAAGGCUCGUACUCUGAUAUCUUCGCAAGCUGCGAAAUAAAAGCCUGAAUAAGUCUUUUCAGCCAUGCCUCAUCCUUUUUUCUUUUUUUUUUUUUUUUUAUCCCACUGGUUUUUCAGUGGCAAGCAG
Oreochromis aureus is the source of this 752-nucleotide long non-coding RNA. The record is from Ensembl. Lineage: Eukaryota; Metazoa; Chordata; Actinopteri; Cichliformes; Cichlidae.